AGAGUUUGAUCCUGGCUCAGGAUAAACGCUGGCGGCGUGCCUAACACAUGCAAGUCGAACGCCCUUGAGCAAUCAAGGGAGUGGCGGACGGGUGAGUAACACGUGGAUAACCUGCCCUGCGGUGAGGAAUACCGGCGAGAAAUCGCCGACAAUACCGCAUGUGCUCACGCAAGUGAGUAAAGUCUCGCAAGAGACGCCAC
Molecule: ribosomal RNA, 200 nt
Filed under: uncultured bacterium
Lineage: Bacteria
Description: partial 16S ribosomal RNA
Rfam family: Bacterial small subunit ribosomal RNA
Source: RNAcentral